AACAAACGCUGGCGGCGUGCCUAAUACAUGCAAGUCGAACGGGGAAAGCUUUCGGGUGAGUACUAGUGGCGCACGGGUGAGGAACGCGUGGAUAAUCUGCCUUAGAGUGGGGGAUAACUAGUCGAAAGAUUAGCUAAUACCGCAUAAGACCACGAGAGCUGCGGCUUUUGAGGUCAAAGGUUUUUCGCUCUAAGAUGAGUCCGCGUAAGAUUAGCUAGUUGGUGAGGUAACGGCCCACCAAGGCGACGAUCUUUAACUGGUCUGAGAGGAUGAUCAGUCACACUGGAACUGAGACACGGUCCAGACUCCUACGGGAGGCAGCAGUAGGGAAUAUUGCACAAUGGAGGAAACUCUGAUGCAGCGACGCCGCGUGAGUGAUGAAGGCCUUCGGGUCGUAAAGCUCUGUCGCAGGGGAAUAACACAAUGAAGGUACCCUGUAAGAAAGGAUCGGCUAACUUCGUG
This 462-nucleotide ribosomal RNA is filed under the name uncultured bacterium. Its description in RNAcentral is "partial 16S ribosomal RNA". It matches the Rfam family "Bacterial small subunit ribosomal RNA", at positions 29 to 507 of the family's 1533-position model. The record is from RNAcentral.